AGAACGAACGCUGGCGGCAUGCCUAACACAUGCAAGUCGAACGAGACCUUCGGGUCUAGUGGCGCACGGGUGCGUAACGCGUGGGAAUCUACCCUUGGGUUCGGAAUAACAGUUGGAAACGACUGCUAAUACCGGAUGAUGACGUAAGUCCAAAGAUUUAUCGCCCAGGGAUGAGCCCGCGUAGGAUUAGCUAGUUGGUGAGGUAAAGGCUCACCAAGGCGACGAUCCUUAGCUGGUCUGAGAGGAUGAUCAGCCACACUGGGACUGAGACACGGCCCAGACUCCUACGGGAGGCAGCAGUGGGGAAUAUUGGACAAUGGGCGAAAGCCUGAUCCAGCAAUGCCGCGUGAGUGAUGAAGGCCUAAGGUUGUAAAGCUCUUUUACCCGGGAAGAUAAUGACUGUACCGGAGAAUAAGCUCCGGCUAACUCCGUGCCAGCAGCCGC
Molecule: ribosomal RNA, 444 nt
Filed under: uncultured soil bacterium
Lineage: Bacteria
Description: bacterial SSU rRNA
Rfam family: Bacterial small subunit ribosomal RNA
Source: RNAcentral